RNAcentral lists this ribosomal RNA (379 nucleotides) under Sphaeroeca volvox. Its description in RNAcentral is "partial small subunit ribosomal RNA". It matches the Rfam family "Eukaryotic small subunit ribosomal RNA", at positions 30 to 432 of the family's 1831-position model. Lineage: Eukaryota; Choanoflagellata; Craspedida; Salpingoecidae. The record is from RNAcentral.
GCUUGUCUCAAAGAUUAAGCCAUGCACGUGUCAGUAUAAGCUUUUAUACGGUGAAACUGCGAAUGGCUCAUUAAAUCAGUUAUAGUUUAUUUGAUGGUUCCUUUACUUGGAUAACCCGGGUAAUUCUCUGGCUAACAAAUGCAGAAGACCCUUUACUGGGUUGUAUUUAUUAGAUCUUUACUAACUCUGUUGGUGAAUCACAAUAAGAUAACAGAUCGCAUCGAGGUAACUCGGCGACGGAUCAUUCAAGUUUCUGCCCUAUCAACUUUCGAUGGUACGGUAUUGGCCUACCAUGGUGACCACGGGUAACGGGGGAUUAGGGUUCGAUUCCGGAGAGGGCGCCUGAGAAAUGGCGACCACUUCUAAGGAAGGCAGCAGG